Molecule: long non-coding RNA, 1395 nt
Organism: Cyprinus carpio (common carp)
Lineage: Eukaryota; Metazoa; Chordata; Actinopteri; Cypriniformes; Cyprinidae
Source: RefSeq, a predicted model, not a curated record
AAUGAUAUAUAGAAGUUAUAUUUAAUUUUUUACAUUUAUUUACUUAUAAGUCACAUUAAAGAUCCACUUGGCUUACUAAUGCAAGGGGGCCCAUGACACAGUUUGGUGGGUAGACUGUGUGAACGUAACUUCAUGUGUGCUGUUUUUUUUUUUUUUCAUAGCAUAAAUGUAAAAGGCUUGCGUUUCUGAGUGAUUGAUUAGAUGAGUGAGUAAUGUGUGUGUGAGUGUGUGUUUACCAGUUAACACAGCAGGGAGUGGACAGAAGGGCCAAGUGUGACAGGUGGACAGGCGUGAUAAGGAGAGAGCGGUGCAGACCAGCGCUCAGCAGAAGCAGAGCCCAGGAGAAUAUCCAGCCAAAAGCAGCUAAUAGCUGAUACUCAUCAGAGAUAGAGCCGCUGAAGAUUUCUUGUCUCUGUGGAAUAGUCGUUCAUUUCGCUUCAGCCCAAAUUCUCCUCCCUAAAAAUGUACUGUAUUUCGUACAGUCGUGAAAAGAUGUUGUUAAUCAAGUUUAAUACAAAAGGACAAUCAAUGCUGGGACUGAAGGAAUAUGCCAUGAUCAGAUGGAGAGUAAAUGAAGACUUUCUGCUUUUCAGAUUUUACAGAUUUCACAUCAGUGUAUCCUAGAGUUUCAGAAGAGAUCUCAGCAAUGUUGUAACUGCAACAUGGGACGAAAAGGAAAAUUCAGAGGGAGCGAGAAUAAUAAAUGCAAAUUAUGAAUCCUUUUACCAAACAUCGGCAAGAGGAAGUUCACAGUCUUCAAGGCACCAAAUUACACCAUUGAUCCGAACCCAAAAUGGCUCCAUGUCUGGCAUUUUCAGAGGCCUUUUCCAAGUCAAUGUCAUCCUAUUGGCCUCAAACUAAAAGAGACAAAUAGGACUGGAAUAAGGUAAAGAUGGAGUGGUUGCCUUGCUGUUGUGCUGGUAUCAGACAUGGGCUCUUCAUCAGAUGACUAAUGGAGUUGUGCAGCUAACCAGGAGGCCCAAGGCUGUUUGUUAGCUCCUAACAAGGUGAACCAGCUCCUACGGAACAGCACACUAGCGCUGAAGGAUUUAUUAUAGAUCUGCGUGUCCGCAGGCCAUGAGCGGCAGUGCUGGUCUCAUUGUAGUGGGCUCACCACACUAGCAGAGGGUUUAGAUCAUUAUUGCCUCAUUGUUUUGAUACAAUUUUGGAGAGCGGAUGAUGGAUGGAUGGAUAAUCGGAUGAGUAAAGGAGUUUUGGUAGCCUAGCACAGGAGGGUAAUGGAUGGACUGCAAAAACACAUGGACAAGAUGAGGAAAAGUGAGUUUUGAACAUUUAAAGAAGGAAUUUGGAAAUAGUUUUCAGUUUUUUUUUUUUAAAUGUUUAAUUUUCACAUUUAAUAUGUGCAAAUAAAACCUUUAAAAAUAGAAGAAAAAU